Molecule: long non-coding RNA, 543 nt
Organism: Hyla sarda
Lineage: Eukaryota; Metazoa; Chordata; Amphibia; Anura; Hylidae
Exons: 3
Source: RefSeq, a predicted model, not a curated record
AAAUAGAACUGAGAAGAGUCCAAAGUACACACCUGUAUGAACUUUUCUAUAAAAGCACAUCACUUUGCAACACCUUUCCACUUACUUCAGGAAAUGCUGGAGAUUAGCAGUUCCAAUAUCGCAUUGGAAUGAAACAAACCACAGGACCUGUGUGCAAAUCCGCAAGGAUAAGACGUAGGCUACAUCAAUUCAGGGCCAGUGGUGUCGCAUGGUGGAAACAUGUUUGCAGUUUGACCAACUGAUCGAAAGGUUCAUAUGUUUGAGAUUCUACAUGAAUUAAGAAUCAGAGUUUAGACAUUCUUUCUAAAAUUUUGGAUGUUCCGGUUCAAGUUCGUCUUUCCAGUCUGGAAGAAAUUUUUCUUCAUUCUAGUUCAAGUUUAUUCUUAUAGCUUUAUCAAAGAAAAGAGGGAGUUGGUUUAUUCAGUUGGGACAUGAUACCACUGGACUGUCCUGUGAUUGGCUACUGGCCGAACUCAACAUACAUAUUUUUCUUGGCAACCUUAUUUUAACUCUUUGUUUGCUGCUGAAGUAGUAAAGGGAAGA